CCUACGGGAGGCAGCAGUGAGGAAUAUUGUUCAAUGGUCGGGAGACUGAACCAGCCAAGCCGCGUGAGGGAUGAAGGUACAGAGUAUCGUAAACCUCUUUUGUCAGGGAACAAAGGCGGGGACGUGUCCCCGGAUGAGUGUACCUGAAGAAAAAGCAUCGGCUAACUCCGUGCCAGCAGCCGCGGUAAUAAGGAGGAUGCGAGCGUUAUCCGGAUUUAUGGGGUUUAAAGGGUGCGCAGGCGGUCUGUUAAGUCAGCGGUCAAAGCCCGGGGCUCAACCCCGGCCCGCCGUUGAAACUGGCAGUCUCGAGUUGGAGAGAAGUAUGCGGAAUGCGCGGUGUAGCGGUGAAAUGCAUAGAUAUCGCGCAGAACUCCGAUUGCGAAGGCAGCAUGCCGGCUCCACACUGACGCUGAGGCACGAAAGCGUGGGUAUCGAACAGGAUUAGAUACCCCUGUAGUC
RNAcentral lists this ribosomal RNA (459 nucleotides) under uncultured bacterium. RNAcentral's name for it is "partial 16S ribosomal RNA". It matches the Rfam family "Bacterial small subunit ribosomal RNA", at positions 338 to 795 of the family's 1533-position model. The record is from RNAcentral.